Molecule: ribosomal RNA, 292 nt
Filed under: uncultured microorganism
Description: partial 16S ribosomal RNA
Rfam family: Bacterial small subunit ribosomal RNA
Source: RNAcentral
GUGCCAGCAGCCGCGGUAAUACGAAGGGUGCAAGCGUUACUCGGAAUUACUGGGCGUAAAGCGUGCGUAGGUGGUUGUUUAAGUCUGUCGUGAAAGCCCUGGGCUCAACCUGGGAAUUGCGAUGGAAACUGGGCGACUAGAGUGUGGCAGAGGGUAGUGGAAUUCCUGGUGUAGCAGUGAAAUGCGUAGAGAUCACCACCAACAUCCGUGGCGGAAGCGACUGCCUGGGCCAACACUGACACUGAGGCACGAAAGCGUGGGGAGCAAACAGGAUUAGAUACCCUGGUAGUCC